GUCGAGGGGCAGCAGGGGAGUAGCAAUACUCCCGCUGGCGACCGGCGCACGGGUGAGUAACACGUAUGCAACCUGCCCUUGUCAGGGGGAUAAGCGGAAGAAAUUCCGUCUAAUACCGCAUAACGCUGCGGGGAGACAUCUCCCUGCAGCCAAAGAUUUAUCGGACAAGGAUGGGCAUGCGGCGCAUUAGCUGGUUGGCGGGGUAACGGCCCACCAAGGCGACGAUGCGUAGGGGUUCUGAGAGGAAGGUCCCCCACACUGGUACUGAGACACGGACCAGACUCCUACGGGAGGCAGCAGUGAGGAAUAUUGGUCAAUGGCCGGGAGGCUGAACCAGCCAAGUCGCGUGAGGGAAGACGGUCCUAUGGAUUGUAAACCUCUUUUGUCAGGGAGCAAAAACUGCCACGCGUGGCAGGAUGAGAGUACCUGAAGAAAAAGCAUCGGCUAACUCCGUGCCAGCAGCCGCGGUAAUACGGAGGAUGCGAGCGUUAUCCGGAUUUAUUGGGUUUAAAGGGUGCGUAGGCGGACAGUUAAGUCAGCGGUAAAAUUGAGAGGCUCAACCUCUUCCCGCCGUUGAAACUGAUUGUCUUGAGUGGGCGAGAAGUAUGCGGAAUGCGUGGUGUAGCGGUGAAAUGCAUAGAUAUCACGCAGAACUCCGAUUGCGAAGGCAGCAUACCGGCGCGCAACUGACGCUCAUG
Molecule: ribosomal RNA, 698 nt
Filed under: uncultured bacterium
Lineage: Bacteria
Description: bacterial SSU rRNA
Rfam family: Bacterial small subunit ribosomal RNA
Source: RNAcentral